GGGGUAGGGGUGAAAUCUUGUGAUCCUCGGGGGACCACCAGUGGCGAAGGCGUCUCACCAGAACGGGUCCGACGGUAAGGGACGAAAGCUAGGGGCACGAACCGGAUUAGAUACCCGGGUAGUCCUAGCCGUAAACGAUGCUCGCUAGGUGUCAGUCACGGUGCGACCGUGAUUGGUGCCGUAGGGAAGCCGUGAAGCGAGCCACCUGGGAAGUAUGGCCGCAAGGCUGAAACUUAAAGGAAUUGGCGGGGGAGCACUACAACGGGUGGAGCCUGCGGUUUAAUUGGAUUCAACGCCGGAAAUCUCACCGGGGGCGACAGCGAUAUGAAGGUCAGGCUGAAGACCUUACCCGAUUAGCUGAGAGGUGGUGCAUGGCCAC
This 379-nucleotide ribosomal RNA is filed under the name uncultured methanogenic archaeon. RNAcentral describes it as "bacterial SSU rRNA". It matches the Rfam family "Archaeal small subunit ribosomal RNA", at positions 623 to 1001 of the family's 1478-position model. The record is from RNAcentral. Lineage: Archaea; Methanobacteriati; Methanobacteriota.